ACCAAGGAAUGUCGGAGAAAGCCCGUCUAGCUCAGUCGGUAGAGCGCUUGGCUCUUAACCAAGUGGUCGAGGG
RNAcentral lists this transfer RNA (73 nucleotides) under Sterkiella histriomuscorum. RNAcentral's name for it is "tRNA-Lys". The stretch from base 21 to 73 matches the Rfam family "tRNA", at positions 1 to 51 of the family's 71-position model. Rfam says of the family: Transfer RNA (tRNA) molecules are approximately 80 nucleotides in length. Their secondary structure includes four short double-helical elements and three loops (D, anti-codon, and T loops). The record is from RNAcentral. Lineage: Eukaryota; Ciliophora; Spirotrichea; Sporadotrichida; Oxytrichidae.